RNAcentral lists this ribosomal RNA (511 nucleotides) under Pectobacterium carotovorum subsp. carotovorum. RNAcentral describes it as "bacterial SSU rRNA". It matches the Rfam family "Bacterial small subunit ribosomal RNA", at positions 1030 to 1533 of the family's 1533-position model. Lineage: Bacteria; Pseudomonadati; Pseudomonadota; Gammaproteobacteria; Enterobacterales; Pectobacteriaceae. The record is from RNAcentral.
UGAGACAGGUGCUGCAUGGCUGUCGUCAGCUCGUGUUGUGAAAUGUUGGGUUAAGUCCCGCAACGAGCGCAACCCUUAUCCUUUGUUGCCAGCGAUUCGGUCGGGAACUCAAAGGAGACUGCCGGUGAUAAACCGGAGGAAGGUGGGGAUGACGUCAAGUCAUCAUGGCCCUUACGAGUAGGGCUACACACGUGCUACAAUGGCGUAUACAAAGAGAAGCGACCUCGCGAGAGCAAGCGGACCUCAUAAAGUACGUCGUAGUCCGGAUUGGAGUCUGCAACUCGACUCCAUGAAGUCGGAAUCGCUAGUAAUCGUAGAUCAGAAUGCUACGGUGAAUACGUUCCCGGGCCUUGUACACACCGCCCGUCACACCAUGGGAGUGGGUUGCAAAAGAAGUAGGUAGCUUAACCUUCGGGAGGGCGCUUACCACUUUGUGAUUCAUGACUGGGGUGAAGUCGUAACAAGGUAACCGUAGGGGAACCUGCGGUUGGAUCACCUCCUUACCAAGAAG